AGCAGCCGCGGUAAUUCCAGCUCCAAUAGCGUAUAUUAAAGUUGUUGCAGUUAAAAAGCUCGUAGUUGAACUUCGGGGUUCACCCAUUGGUCAGGCUUAAUUGUCUGCACUGGUGAGAUGAGUCUCUACCUUCUGAGGAACUUUCAUGCCAUUUAUUUGGUGUGAUUGGAAAUCAGGACUGUUACUUUGAAAAAUUAGAGUGUUUAAAGCAGGCUAACGUCUGAAUACAUUAGCAUGGAAUAAUGAAAUAGGACGGACUGAUUCUAUUUCGUUGGUUUCUAGGAUCACCGUAAUGAUUAAUAGGGAUAGUUGGGGCAUUAGUAUUCAAUUGUCAGAGGUGAAAUUCUUGGAUUUAUUGAA
This 360-nucleotide ribosomal RNA is filed under the name uncultured Glomeromycotina. RNAcentral's name for it is "SSU rRNA". It matches the Rfam family "Eukaryotic small subunit ribosomal RNA", at positions 569 to 933 of the family's 1831-position model. Lineage: Eukaryota; Fungi; Glomeromycota. The record is from RNAcentral.